CCCACCUCCCACUCGCCCGCUUGCCUCGCGUGGCCGUCGUCGUCGCUCGACGCUCGCCUCGCGCCGCCGCCGCAGGAGGCGGCCGAGCAGCCAUAGGGGAACGGCGGGCGGGCGGGCACAAUGGAGCUCUGCUGCCCCCGCCUCGCUCGGCUGCCCCCGCCCCGCUCAACCCGCUCCGCGCGCGCCCUGCACGACCGCCGN
RNAcentral lists this long non-coding RNA (201 nucleotides) under Hordeum vulgare. RNAcentral's name for it is "long non-coding RNA (HVUL_LNC001196)". The record is from RNAcentral. Lineage: Eukaryota; Viridiplantae; Streptophyta; Magnoliopsida; Poales; Poaceae.